This 492-nucleotide ribosomal RNA is filed under the name uncultured bacterium. RNAcentral's name for it is "partial 16S ribosomal RNA". It matches the Rfam family "Bacterial small subunit ribosomal RNA", at positions 29 to 507 of the family's 1533-position model. The record is from RNAcentral.
AGUGAACGCUGGCGGUAGGCCUAACACAUGCAAGUCGAACGGCAGCACAGUAAGAGCUUGCUCUUACGGGUGGCGAGUGGCGGACGGGUGGGGAAUACAUCGGAAUCUACUUUUUCGUGGGGGAUAACGUAGGGAAACUUACGCUAAUACCGCAUACGACCUACGGGUGAAAGCAGGGGAUCUUCGGACCUUGCGCGAGUGAAUGAGCCGAUGUCGGAUUAGCUAGUUGGCGGGGUAAAGGCCCACCAAGGCGACGAUCCGUAGCUGGUCUGAGAGGAUGAUCAGCCACACUGGAACUGAGACACGGUCCAGACUCCUACGGGAGGCAGCAGUGGGGAAUAUUGGACAAUGGGCGCAAGCCUGCUCCAGCCAUACCGCGUGGGUGAAGAAGGCCUUCGGGUUGUAAAGCCCUUUUGUUGGGAAAGAAAAGCAGCAGGUUAAUACCCCGCUGUUCUGACGGUACCCAAAGAAUAAGCACCGGCUAACUUCGUG